Molecule: long non-coding RNA, 344 nt
Filed under: Anser brachyrhynchus (Pink-footed goose)
Lineage: Eukaryota; Metazoa; Chordata; Aves; Anseriformes; Anatidae
Description: lncRNA (ENSABRG00000014266.1)
Source: RNAcentral
GGACCUGGAAGAAUGGCAAACCAAGCAGGGAAAAUCCAUAAUGCAUUAUUUGCUGUUGCUCUACCGGGGUCACUGCCAUUGUACGAAUUAACAGCACCUGCUGAGGACCGGGUAAUUUAACCAAAGGACUGGAACCCCCGAAAAAGGGCUUCAUACACUGAAUUGAAUUGCUGGAAGAGCAAAUGCUGAUUUCUGCUGGUACCAAGCCAGGGAAGCAUAUCCUGCUAAAAAUUCUGCAGAGGACUGCCAGAAAAUCAGUUUUUACAGGGCAGGCAAUGACCAAAGAUAAUAGAUGGUACUUCUGGGGAAGGAAGCGCUCUUCUCAUCACCCUCUGCUGAUAUAA